UGACUUAAGCAUAUCAAUAAGCGGAGGAAAAGAAACCAACAGGGNAUUGCCCUAGUAACGGCGAGUGAAGCGGCAACAGCUCAAAUUUGAAAUCUGGCCCCUUUGGGGUCCGAGUUGUAAUUUGCAGAGGGUGCUUUGGCGUUGGCGGCGGUCUAAGUUCCUUGGAACAGGACAUCGCAGAGGGUGAGAAUCCCGUAUGUGGUCGCAUGCCUUCGCCGUGUAAAGCCCCUUCGACGAGUCGAGUUGUUUGGGAAUGCAGCUCUAAAUGGGAGGUAAAUUUCUUCUAAAGCUAAAUACCGGCCAGAGACCGAUAGCGCACAAGUAGAGUGAUCGAAAGAUGAAAAGCACUUUGGAAAGAGAGUCAAACAGCACGUGAAAUUGUUGAAAGGGAAGCGCUUGCAGCCAGACUUGCCUGUAGUUGCUCACCCGGGCUCCUGCCCGGGGCACUCUUCUGCAGGCAGGCCAGCAUCAGUUUGGGCGGUCGGAUAAAGGGCUCUGACACGUACUUCCCCUCGGGGUUGACAUACAGGGGAGCCGCAAUGCGACCAGCCCGGACUGAGGUCCGCGCAUCUGCUAGGAUGCUGGCGUAAUGGCUGUAAGCGGCCCGUCUUGAAACACGGACCAAGGAGUCUAACAUCUAUGCGAGUGUUUGGGUGUCAAGCCCGAGCGCGCAAUGAAAGUGAACGGAGGUGGGAGCCCCUCGGGGUGCACCAUCGACCGAUCCUGAUGUCUUCGGAUGGAUUUGAGUAAGAGCAUAGCUGUUGGGACCCGAAAGAUGGUGAACUAUGCUUGAAUAGGGUGAAGCCAGAGGAAACUCUGGUGGAGGCUCGCAGCGGUUCUGACGUGCAAAUCGAUCGUCAAAUUUGGGCAUAGGGGCGAAAGACUAAUCGAACUAUCUAGUAGCUGGUUCCUGCCGAAGUUUCCCCUCAGGGAUA
RNAcentral lists this ribosomal RNA (935 nucleotides) under Periconia macrospinosa. RNAcentral describes it as "partial large subunit ribosomal RNA". It matches the Rfam family "Eukaryotic large subunit ribosomal RNA", at positions 30 to 980 of the family's 3401-position model. The record is from RNAcentral. Lineage: Eukaryota; Fungi; Ascomycota; Dothideomycetes; Pleosporales; Periconiaceae.